Molecule: ribosomal RNA, 720 nt
Filed under: uncultured Alphaproteobacteria bacterium
Lineage: Bacteria; Pseudomonadati; Pseudomonadota; Alphaproteobacteria
Description: bacterial SSU rRNA
Rfam family: Bacterial small subunit ribosomal RNA
Source: RNAcentral
CCACUACUGACGUCGCAGACGGUAUGAGUAUAAUCGUGGGAAUCUGCCUUUUGGUUUGGAAUAACACGCGCGGACACUAUGUGCUAAUACCGAAUAAGACCCUUACGGGGAAAGUUUAUCUGCCGAACAGAUGAGCCUGCACUUGAUUAGCUAGUUGGUAAGGUACAAGCUUACCCAGGCGACGAUCAAUAGCUGUGCUUAGAGGAAGACCAGCCACAUUGGGACUGAGACACGGGCCAGACUCCUACGGGAGGCAGCAGUGGGGAACUCUUGCACACUGGGGGAAACCCUGAUGCCGCGACUGCCGCGUGAGUGACAGACACGGCCCUUGGGUUAGUACACACUCUUUCCUCGGGGAAGAACAUGACUGUACCCGAAUAAGACGGUCCGGCUAACUUCGUGCCAGCAGCCGCGGUAAUACGAAGGGACCUAGCGUAGUUCGGAAUUACUGGGCUUCCAGAGCUCGUACGGUGGUUACAAAAGUUGAUGGUGAAAUCCCAAGGCUCAACCUUGGAACCUGGCAUCCAACACUUAUCAGCUAAGAGUGUGAUAGAGGUAAGUGGAAUCCCUAGUGUAGAGGUGCACUCGUACAUACUAGAAAGCAACACAACUGCGAAGGCCACAAUACUGGGUCCCUACUGACCCUAGAGGAGCGAAAGCAUGGUAACGAAGACGAUAAGAUACCUCCUAGACCAUGCCGACACACUGUUGCAAACGUUG